CUUUUUUUUGCUAUUUGCACAUAUUUGCUCCUGAGUACGCUGAAUUUCCCCUGUGUUUUCUUUUUUCAGACUUCUGCAGAGCUCCUGAAGCAAACUUAACAGAGCUGCUCUACUGAAAGCUUUCUGAAGUCGUUCCUGAAAUAUGAUUCAUAAUCUCUUGAGAUUAACUCAACGGCAAAAAUUAAAAUCUCUAAUUAAAUGAGAAGGAAGGCACCAGUAAAUAAGCAGCUGGAGGAAAUAAGGAAUUAUCCUUGCUUCUGACGAGACCUAUUUUAAACAUGUGAGAGGGAUAGCAGUUCCUUCACUUCUGCCACUGGCUGAUGGACCAGAAGAAUGUGAACCUGCCUGCCUGGUUUCAGUAGUCUUUGCCUGAUUUGUUAAGGUAACUUGUCAAUUUGUCCAAUGCACAACUGUCCUUUA
Long non-coding RNA from Numida meleagris (helmeted guineafowl), 420 nucleotides. The record is from Ensembl. NCBI's taxonomy places the organism in Eukaryota, Metazoa, Chordata, Aves, Galliformes, Numididae.